RNAcentral lists this ribosomal RNA (1048 nucleotides) under Bacillus subtilis. Its description in RNAcentral is "bacterial SSU rRNA". It matches the Rfam family "Bacterial small subunit ribosomal RNA", at positions 359 to 1412 of the family's 1533-position model. The record is from RNAcentral. Lineage: Bacteria; Bacillati; Bacillota; Bacilli; Caryophanales; Bacillaceae.
UGCUGAUCCGCAAUGGACGAAAGUCCACGGAGCAACGCCGCGUGAGUGAUGAAGGUUUUCGGAUCGUAAAGCUCUGUUGUUAGGGAAGAACAAGUGCCGUUUAAAUAGGGCGGCACCUUGACGGUACCUAACCAGAAAGCCACGGCUAACUACGGCCAGCAGCCGCGGUAAUACGUAGGUGGCAAGCGUUGUCCGGAAUUAUUGGGCGUAAAGGGCUCGCAGGCGGUUUCUACUGAUGUGAAAGCCCCCGGCUCAACCGGGGAGGGUCAUUGGAAACUGGGGAACUUGAGUGCAGAAGAGGAGAGUGGAUUCCACGUCAGCGGUGAAAUGCGUAGAGAUGUGGAGGAACACCAGUGGCGAAGGCGACUCUCUGGUCUGUAACUGACGCUGAGGAGCGAAAGCGUGGGGAGCGAACAGGAUUAGAUACCCUGGUAGUCCACGCCGUAAACGAGGAGUGCUAAGUGUUAGGGGGUUUCCGCCCCUUAGUGCUGCAGCUAACGCAUUAAGCACUCCGCCUGGGGAGUACGGUCGCAAGACUGAAACUCAAAGGAAUUGACGGGGGCCCGCACAAGCGGUGGAGCACGUGGUUUAAUUCGAAGCAACGCGAAGAACCUUACCAGGUCUUGACAUCCUCUGACAAUCCUAGAGAUAGGGCCCUUCGGGGGCAGAGUGACAGGUGGUGCAUGGUUGUCGUCAGCUCGUGUCGUGAGAUGUUGGGUUAAGUCCCGCAACGAGCGCAACCCUUGAUUUUAGUUGCCAGCAUUCAGUUGGGCACUUUAAGGUGACCCCGGUGACAAACCGGAGGAAGGUGGGGAUGACGUCAAAUCAUCAUGCCCCUUAUGACCUGGGCUACACACGUGCUACAAUGGACAGAACAAAGGGCAGCGAAACCGGGAGGUUAAGCCAAUCCCACAAAUCUGUUUUCAGUUCGGAUCGCAGUCUGCAACUCGACUGCGUGAAGCUGGAAUCGCUAGUAAUCGCGGAUCAGCAUGCCGCGGUGAAUACGUUCCCGGGCCUUGUACACACCGCCCGUCACACCACGAGAGUU